This 860-nucleotide ribosomal RNA is filed under the name uncultured bacterium. RNAcentral describes it as "SSU rRNA". It matches the Rfam family "Bacterial small subunit ribosomal RNA", at positions 524 to 1381 of the family's 1533-position model. The record is from RNAcentral.
UACGAACCGUUCUAGCGUUGUCCGGAAUUAUUGGGCGUAAAGAGCUCGUAGGCGGUUUGUCACGUCUGCUGUGAAAAUCCAAGGCUCAACCUUGGACUUGCAGUGGGUACGGGCAGGCUAGAGUGCGGGAGGGGAGAUGGGAAUUCCUGGUGUAGCGGUGGAAUGCGCAGAUAUCAGGAGGAACACCAAAGGCGAAGGCACAUCUCUGGGCCGUAACUGACGGCGAGGAGCGAAAGCGUGGGGAGCGAACAGGAUUAGAUACCAUGGUAGUCCACGCCGUAAACGGUGGGUGCUAGCCGUGGGCCACAUUCCACGUGGUCCGUGACGAAGAUAACACAUUAAGCACCCCGCCUGGGGAGUACGGCCGCAAGGCUAAAACUCAAAGGAAUCGACGGGGGCCCGCACAAGCGGCGGAGCAUGCGGAUUAAUUUGAUGCAACGCGAAGAACCUCACCAAGGCCUGACAUAUAGAGGAAAAGUGCAGAGAUGCACUCGCCGCAAGGUCUCUAUACAGGUGGUGCAUGGUAGUCGUCAGCAUCGAGUCGUGAGAUGAAGGCUGAAGUCCCGCAACGAGCGCAACCCUCGUCCUAUGUCGCCAGUCACGUUAUGGUGGGAACUCAUGGGAUACUCCCGGGGUCAACUCGGAGGAAGGUGGGGAGGACGUCAAAUCAUCAUGCCCCUUAUGUCUUGGGCUUCACGCACGCUACAAUGGCCGGUACAGAGGGCAGCAAUACCGUAAGGUGGAGCGAAUCCCAAAAAACCGGUCUCAGUUCGGAGUGAGGUGUGCAACUCGACCUCAAGAAGUCGGAGUCGCUAGUAAUUGUAGAUCAGCAACGCUACGGUGAAUACGUUCCCGGGCCU